Molecule: RNA transcript, 621 nt
Organism: Propithecus coquereli (Coquerel's sifaka)
Lineage: Eukaryota; Metazoa; Chordata; Mammalia; Primates; Indriidae
Gene name: liprin-beta-1-like
Exons: 4
Source: RefSeq, a predicted model, not a curated record
UUGGAAUUUGCCCUUGACAUAUAAGAAGAUGAUGAGUGAUGAAAGUGACAUGUUGGCCAUGGCGUUGGAGCGGAUGAGUGGCAUCAGAGCAGGUUCUAAGGCUCUGGAGUAUUCCAAUGGGUUUCUGAUUGCCACUGUUCCACUUCUCUGUUCACAGGAAGCUUGCGAGCUCUGCACCUUGUGGAAGACCUGUGUGGACUGUUAGAGACAAUGGAAACAGAUGAGAAGGAAGGCCUGAGAUGCCAGAUCCCAGACUCAACAGCAGAAAUGCUUAUUGAAUGGCUUCAGAGUCAAAUGACAAGUGGACACCUUCCUGGGAACGGAGACGUGUAUCAGGAAAGGCUGGCGCAUUUAGAAAGUGAUAAAGAAUCCUUCGUUUUUCGGGUAAGUGUGUUAACAGAGCAGGUGGAGGCUCAGGGAGAGAAGAUUAGAGAUUUGGAGUUCUGUCUCCAAGAGCACAGACAGAAGUUGAAUGCCACAGAAGAAAUGCUGCUGCAGGUUUGUGCAGAAGCCAGCACCAAGGUGGGCUUUUCCAGAUGAGUUAUUUGAGUUAUUACAUUUCUAUGUUGUAUUUGCUCUGAUGCAGCAGUAAAUUUCGAGAUUGACUUAGACCAGCGCAUU